Phrynosoma platyrhinos (Desert horned lizard) is the source of this 73-nucleotide non-coding RNA. The record is from the annotation of a GenBank genome assembly. NCBI's taxonomy places the organism in Eukaryota, Metazoa, Chordata, Lepidosauria, Squamata, Phrynosomatidae.
GCCAGCGUGGUUUAGUGGUUUGAGCAUUGGACUAUGACACUGGGAGACCAGGGUUCGAACCCCAGCUCAGCCA